UUGAAGAGUUUGAUCAUGGCUCAGAUUGAACGCUGGCGGCAGGCCUAACACAUGCAAGUCGAACGGUAACAGGAAGCAGCUUGCUGCUUCGCUGACGAGUGGCGGACGGGUGAGUAAUGUCUGGGAAACUGCCUGAUGGAGGGGGAUAACUACUGGAAACGGUAGCUAAUACCGCAUAACGUCGCAAGACCAAAGAGGGGGACCUUCGGGCCUCUUGCCAUCGGAUGUGCCCAGAUGGGAUUAGCUUGUUGGUGGGGUAACGGCUCACCAAGGCGACGAUCCCUAGCUGGUCUGAGAGGAUGACCAGCCACACUGGAACUGAGACACGGUCCAGACUCCUACGGGAGGCAGCAGUGGGGAAUAUUGCACAAUGGGCGCAAGCCUGAUGCAGCCAUGCCGCGUGUAUGAAGAAGGCCUUCGGGUUGUAAAGUACUUUCAGCGGGGAGGAAGGGAGUAAAGUUAAUACCUUUACUCAUUGACGUUACCCGCAGAAGAAGCACCGGCUAACUCCGUGCCAGCAGCCGCGGUAAUACGGAGGGUGCAAGCGUUAAUCGGAAUUACUGGGCGUAAAGCGCACGCAGGCGGUUUGUUAAGUCAGAUGUGAAAUCCCCGGGCUCAACCUGGGAACUGCAUCUGAUACUGGCAAGCUUGAGUCUCGUAGAGGGGGGUAGAAUUCCAGGUGUAGCGGUGAAAUGCGUAGAGAUCUGGAGGAAUACCGGUGGCGAAGGCGGCCCCCUGGACGAAGACUGACGCUCAGGUGCGAAAGCGUGGGGAGCAAACAGGAUUAGAUACCCUGGUAGUCCACGCCGUAAACGAUGUCGACUUGGAGGUUGUGCCCUUGAGGCGUGGCUUCCGGAGCUAACGCGUUAAGUCGACCGCCUGGGGAGUACGGCCGCAAGGUUAAAACUCAAAUGAAUUGACGGGGCCCGCACAAGCGGUGGAGCAUGUGGUUUAAUUCGAUGCAACGCGAAGAACCCUUACCUGGUCUUGACAUCCACAGAACUUUCCAGAGAUGGAUUGGUGCCUUCGGGAACUGUGAGACAGGUGCUGCAUGGCUGUCGUCAGCUCGUGUUGUGAAAUGUUGGGUUAAGUCCCGCAACGAGCGCAACCCUUAUCCUUUGUUGCCAGCGGUCCGGCCGGGAACUCAAAGGAGACUG
This 1157-nucleotide ribosomal RNA is filed under the name Escherichia coli. RNAcentral's name for it is "bacterial SSU rRNA". It matches the Rfam family "Bacterial small subunit ribosomal RNA", at positions 1 to 1151 of the family's 1533-position model. The record is from RNAcentral. Lineage: Bacteria; Pseudomonadati; Pseudomonadota; Gammaproteobacteria; Enterobacterales; Enterobacteriaceae.